AAGGAAUUUUGCGCAAUGGGCGAAAGCCUGACGCAGCAACGCCGCGUGGGGGAUGAAGGCCUUCGGGUUGUAAACCCCUUUUCUCGAGGAAGAAAAAUGACGGUACUCGAGGAAUAAGUCUUGGCUAACUAC
This 132-nucleotide ribosomal RNA is filed under the name uncultured bacterium. Its description in RNAcentral is "partial 16S ribosomal RNA". It matches the Rfam family "Bacterial small subunit ribosomal RNA", at positions 356 to 504 of the family's 1533-position model. The record is from RNAcentral.